AAACCGCCUCUUCCUCUGCCUCUGUGGCAUAACAGGUUAUCCAAAAUAUUUAAUAGGAGUACAAGGUUCGUGUAAUCUACCUAUCAGGAUAUACUUGGCCUAACCAAAAAAGCAUUUCGUCAAUAUACUAACUCAAGAACAAAACAUAGGCCAUCUUAACAGAAGAACAAAACAUAAGUAUUUCAUCAAGAUACUAACUGACUUAGCAAUAGAUUGAUAGACCCUAGCAAAUGAUACUAUGAAGUUUCCAUAUUGAACAAAGUGUGGAAACAAGACAAACCUGAAGUUUCCAUUGAAGUUGCCA
Long non-coding RNA from Arabidopsis thaliana (thale cress), 304 nucleotides. RefSeq annotates it as other RNA. The record is from RefSeq. The transcript has a single exon. NCBI's taxonomy places the organism in Eukaryota, Viridiplantae, Streptophyta, Magnoliopsida, Brassicales, Brassicaceae.